This 273-nucleotide long non-coding RNA is filed under the name Setaria viridis. Its description in RNAcentral is "long non-coding RNA (SVIR_LNC001188)". Lineage: Eukaryota; Viridiplantae; Streptophyta; Magnoliopsida; Poales; Poaceae. The record is from RNAcentral.
UUAGAGUAAUAAACCGCUUCCCGCUCGUCUGACUCUCUUACUAUCUUCGCUUUCUACAAUCUAUAACACCCUUAUCUCUUUACCCACACAUUCAUCUCUACUGCUAGAUCGGUCUUCCUAUGCAUUUCCUCUAUGUCGUCUCAGACUCUCCUACCCUAACCUGAACUCUCUCUCCAUCAUGCCCAAAAGUUAGCUAGAGACGGAGGGGACGGAGGGGGUACGUAAAGGUUUUUGAGAAGCGCUUCACACGACUACUACUACAGCUCGUCAUCU